This is a non-coding RNA of Acanthosepion pharaonis, 89 nucleotides long. NCBI's taxonomy places the organism in Eukaryota, Metazoa, Mollusca, Cephalopoda, Sepiida, Sepiidae. The record is from the annotation of a GenBank genome assembly.
GGUUCCCAUAUGAUCACAUAAGUUAAGCAAUGUUGAGCCUGGUCAGUAUCUGGAUAGUUGACCACUUGGGAAUACCAGGUACUGUAAGC